UACGGAGGGUGCAAGCGUUAUCCGGAUUCACUGGGUUUAAAGGGUGCGUAGGCGGAAUGAUAAGUCAGUGGUGAAAGCCCCGAGCUCAACUUGGGAAUUGCCAUUGAUACUGUUGUUCUUGAGUUCGGUUGAGGUAGGCGGAAUGUUGCAUGUAGCGGUGAAAUGCUUAGAUAUGCAACAGAACACCGAUUGCGAAGGCAGCUUACCAAGCCGACACUGACGCUGAGGCACGAAAGCGUGGGGAUCAAACAGG
RNAcentral lists this ribosomal RNA (253 nucleotides) under uncultured bacterium. Its description in RNAcentral is "partial 16S ribosomal RNA". It matches the Rfam family "Bacterial small subunit ribosomal RNA", at positions 524 to 776 of the family's 1533-position model. The record is from RNAcentral.